AGGGAAAGUUUUUAAAUUAACCCUGCGAUGACAUUUUCUUUUUCGUGGUGAAUGAUGAAAUUCAGACACAGGGGAAAUGCUUAUUUGGUUUUUUUUACAUAGUGGAUACUCAGCUGGAACAUUUUGCUCGACUGCAUAUUUGAAAAAAGUUCCCUUGGGAGCCGUGAUGAAGCAAAACCAUUUAGCUAUUACAACUGGAGGUUAAAAAAAAAAAAUUACAGAUGCAGUAUUUAAAACACUUUAAAAGUAUUUGUUUGUCUAAAAUAUAAUAGAAAAUCCUUUACAUUUGUAUUUUUUCAUAAUUUUUUGGUUCUUAGACUAUAUAAUCAAGUCAAGAUUUACACUGUACAUUAAAAAUCUUCUUUUGAAUGUAUUUGCAUAAAUGGACAGUGAGCUGUUAAAGAAAAGAAUACUGGUAAAAAGUUAGUUAGCGAGAUAAGAACUAAUUCAGAAAUGAAUGAUCCUCAGAAUUUUGCAUUCCCUUCCAGGCUCGCCCAGCUUGUUACAGUGCCUCACGCUUCAGUUGUUUCACUCUUCCUCCUGCAUGGAGAAGAGCCACCCUUCUCAAACCCAAGACUCCUCUAAAAACCAAAAACACAGUCUUAGAGGAUGAGAACUUUGCCUCGGAACAAAGCAUGUUCAGGGCUAGAGGAUUUGCUGGAAAUAAUGUGAAUUAGCUUUUGCUGUUAAAGAUGCAGCUCAAAAUGUUUGAACAUCUAUCACCAGCCCAGAGCCUGCUCCCUGGGUAAGCAGUGGGAGGCUUUGCCGUUGACAGAUUUGAGAGCAAAAUCAGGUCCCAGUAUAAAGCAAGGCAGUGUAAUUAACUGGCAUCAUCUCUGUCUGAUUUUCCCAUCAAUCACUGGUACCACUCGGGGAUGCAAAUCAGUCUCGCUGAGAGGCAGGCCCAGAGUCCAAACAAAAACCUUAAUUGUGGCAUAAGGCUCUUUUCCAGACCCUCUUUGCAGGACUGAAUUUUAUCCAGAGUGCAGUGGGAUUUGCCAUUCUUGCAGUGCUUUUUAGCAGCUGCAUGCCUUCUAAAAAUUAUUUAGUGUCCUAAUGAGACAAUUUCUUACCCGCACUAAACGGGUGUUAAGUGCCAUUAAAGUCAGUGAAGCUACACACCGCUGUCUGCCAGGUCAGGAUCGGUCCACAGAUGCUUAAAUGAAUGCCUGCAGAGAGCAGGUCUUUCCCUGGGAAUUAAAACUGGCAUUUUUUGGCUGGUCAGAACCGUUAGGCUGAUUUAUUUCUCAUUUAUAGCCUGUGAAACCUGAGGCUGUUAGCUUUUGUUGCUAGAACAAUGCAACUGGGUUAGGGAACAGAACUUUUCUGAAUUAUUAUAUACUACAUGGAUUUUUCUAUGUUAAUGACUGGCAGUGCAAAAGAAUUGCUCUGAUUCUCAGGUGUUUCUCGGUGUGCCUGUACCUCACUGCAGAAGCUCACAGGGCUGCUAGCAUCAACACAGCUGGCUCUCAAUCGUGCUUCACCUGGGGCUGCACCACUUUUGCCUUUCACUGUUUAUUAAAAACACUAAAUCAGGAGCAUUUCUUUUUUUUAAAAGCCAAAUGCUCAGUGCAGCCCAGCUGCGGGUGAAGAGCUAGUGAAAGCAGCAGCCGCGCCGACAGUUUUUAGCUGGGCUUGAGGUUUUUGCUUGUUCAUCACCAUUCUUUGAGAAAAAGAGAGGGAAGCGAGAAAACCUUGGAAUGAAAAAAAGCAGGGGAUAAAACAAGAAAAAGCUGGGGGAUGAAAAGGUUUUGGGAAGGCAAAAGGAAGGUGUGAGAACAACUGGAGGAGAAAAAGGCCAGGGUAGGGGCGAGAGGAGAAGGGGGAGGUCUAGACAAAAGAACAUGUUAUUUGGGCUUGAUUUUGUC
Molecule: long non-coding RNA, 1868 nt
Organism: Strigops habroptila (Kakapo)
Lineage: Eukaryota; Metazoa; Chordata; Aves; Psittaciformes; Psittacidae
Source: Ensembl